CCUACGGGUGGCUGCAGUGAGGAAUAUUGGUCAAUGGGCGCGAGCCUGAACCAGCCAAGUAGCGUGAAGGAUGACGGCUCUACGGGUUGUAAACUUCUUUUAUAAGGGAAUAAAGUGCGGCACGAGUGCCUGGUUGUACGUACUUUAUGAAUAAGGAUCGGAUAACUCCGUGCAAGCCGCCGCGGUAAUACGGAGGAUCCGAGCGUUAUCCGGAUUUAUUGGGUGUCAAGGGAGCGUAGAUGGGUUGUUAAGUCAGUUGUGAAAGUUCGGGGCUCAACCGUGAAACUGCAUGUGAUACUGGUCGUCUAGAGUACAGUUGCGGGAGGCGGAAUGCGUGGUGUAGCGGUGAAAUGCGUAGAUAUCAUGAAGAACACCGAUUGCGAAGGCAGCUUACUAAACUUGCACUGACGUUGAUGCACGAAAGUGUGGGUAGCAAACAGGAUUAGAUACCCGUGUAGUC
This 460-nucleotide ribosomal RNA is filed under the name uncultured bacterium. Its description in RNAcentral is "partial 16S ribosomal RNA". It matches the Rfam family "Bacterial small subunit ribosomal RNA", at positions 338 to 795 of the family's 1533-position model. The record is from RNAcentral.